Molecule: ribosomal RNA, 467 nt
Filed under: uncultured bacterium
Lineage: Bacteria
Description: partial 16S ribosomal RNA
Rfam family: Bacterial small subunit ribosomal RNA
Source: RNAcentral
GAUGAACGCUGGCGGCGUGCUUAACACAUGCAAGUCGAACGAUGAUGCCCAGCUUGCUGGGUGGAUUAGUGGCGAACGGGUGAGUAACACGUGAGUAACCUGCCCUUGACUCUGGGAUAAGCCUGGGAAACUGGGUCUAAUACCGGAUACGACCAUCUGGCGCAUGUCAUGGUGGUGGAAAGCUUUUGUGGUUUUGGAUGGACUCGCGGCCUAUCAGCUUGUUGGUGGGGUAAUGGCCUACCAAGGCGACGACGGGUAGCCGGCCUGAGAGGGUGACCGGCCACACUGGGACUGAGACACGGCGCAGACUCCUACGGGAGGCAGCAGUGGGGAAUAUUGCACAAUGGGCGCAAGCCUGAUGCAGCGACGCCGCGUGAGGGAUGACGGCCUUCGGGUUGUAAACCUCUUUCAGUAGGGAAGAAGCGAAAGUGACGGUACCUGCAGAAGAAGCGCCGGCUAACUACGUG